RNAcentral lists this ribosomal RNA (449 nucleotides) under uncultured bacterium. RNAcentral describes it as "partial 16S ribosomal RNA". It matches the Rfam family "Bacterial small subunit ribosomal RNA", at positions 29 to 523 of the family's 1533-position model. The record is from RNAcentral.
AAUGAACGCUGGCGGCAUGCCUAACACAUGCAAGUCGAACGAGACCUUCGGGUCUAGUGGCGCACGGGUGCGUAACGCGUGGGAAUCUGCCCUUGGGUUCGGACUAACUCGCCGAAAGGCGUGCUAAUACCGGAUGAUGACGUAAGUCCAAAGAUUUAUCGCCCAAGGAUGAGCCCGCGUAGGAUUAGCUAGUUGGUGGGGUAAAGGCCCACCAAGGCGACGAUCCUUAGCUGGUCUGAGAGGAUGAUCAGCCACACUGGGACUGAGACACGGCCCAGACUCCUACGGGAGGCAGCAGUGGGGAAUAUUGGACAAUGGGCGAAAGCCUGAUCCGGCAAUGCCGCGUGAGUGAUGAAGGCCUUAGGGUUGUAAAGCUCCUUUACCCGGGAUGAUAAUGACAGUACCGGGAGAAUAAGCCCCGGCUAACUCCGUGCCAGCCGCCGCGGUAA